UUGAGACCAUACAUUCUACUCUCCGGCCAGUUUGUGAGUUCUAAAGGUUAUGGUCAAUUCUGGAUUACAUUUGGCUACAGUCCAGAUUAUGAACCCAAAGAAGCCAUGUUGACUACGACAAAGGACAUCCAAAAAGAGAGAAACAGGAUAAAGGACAUCUCUCUGGAGGUUGACUGUGACAUUCU
Molecule: long non-coding RNA, 185 nt
Organism: Rosa rugosa (rugosa rose)
Lineage: Eukaryota; Viridiplantae; Streptophyta; Magnoliopsida; Rosales; Rosaceae
Exons: 3
Source: RefSeq, a predicted model, not a curated record